GGGGUUAUAAUGGCAUUUGACAGCGGGUAGAAAUGGUAUGUAAGCAUGCGGAGCGUCGUCCGAAUGGCUCCUUAAUCUCAGCGGUCAUCAAAUUUAAUUGGCGAAAAUACUUACGCUCUCGCUGCCUAACCGAAGUACAGUAGGUUACUGGCUUAUCUCAUCAUAAGAUGAUGGGACGGGACAUCACUCCGAAGCCCUCUUCCCGAGGCAUAGGAUGCAGUGGUGCUCAGCAAAUCGGGAAUAGUCAUUGUGGUGUUCCGCCACGUUGAUGAAGUUUUAGGAACUAAGGUUGCAGUUGGUGGUCUGGGUCCUGCUGUAGCACGAAAAUAAAGGCCGGAAUAAGCAUGUAGAAAACGUAUGGUUUCCUCGUUUGGACGAGGGUUCGACUCCCUCUAACUCCACAU
This 404-nucleotide transfer-messenger RNA is filed under the name Prevotella sp. It matches the Rfam family "transfer-messenger RNA". Rfam says of the family: Bacterial tmRNA, also known as 10Sa RNA or SsrA, is named for its dual tRNA and mRNA-like properties. Its role is to liberate the mRNA from a stalled ribosome. To accomplish this part of the tmRNA is used as a reading frame that ends in a translation stop signal. Lineage: Bacteria; Pseudomonadati; Bacteroidota; Bacteroidia; Bacteroidales; Prevotellaceae. The record is from RNAcentral.